Molecule: ribosomal RNA, 496 nt
Filed under: uncultured bacterium
Lineage: Bacteria
Description: partial 16S ribosomal RNA
Rfam family: Bacterial small subunit ribosomal RNA
Source: RNAcentral
AUUGAACGCUGGCGGAAUGCUUUACACAUGCAAGUCGAACGGUAGAGGGGGCAACCCCUCGAGAGUGGCGAACGGGUGAGUAAUAUAUCGGAACGUGCCCAGUCGUGGGGGAUAACGUAGCGAAAGUUACGCUAAUACCGCAUACGAUCUAAGGAUGAAAGCGGGGGAUCGCAAGACCUCGCGCGAUUGGAGCGGCCGACAUCAGAUUAGGUAGUUGGUGGGGUAAAGGCCCACCAAGCCAACGAUCUGUAGCUGGUCUGAGAGGACGACCAGCCACACUGGAACUGAGACACGGUCCAGACUCCUACGGGAGGCAGCAGUGGGGAAUUUUGGACAAUGGGCGAAAGCCUGAUCAAGCCAUUCCGCGUGCAGGAUGAAGGCCCUCGGGUUGUAAACUGCUUUUGUACAGAACGAAAAGGUUUCUACUAAUACUAGGAGCUCAUGACGGUACUGUGAGAAUGAGCACCGGCUAUCUACGUGCCAGCCGCCGCUGUAA